AGCUGCAGAGGAGCCAGGCCUGUCCACUGGUCUGGAAAGGAGAAGCCCUGGAGGCCUGCUGUGUCCUGGGGCCCCAACUGUGCCGACAGGGCCCGGCCAGGAGACCCCAGGAUUCAGUGUCUGACUCACAGAACUCAGCAGGGGGUGGGUGUGACCAGGGUAUCCUGAGCAGCUCACUGCCAAGUCAGAGCAGCACCAAACCCUCUCCUGUUGGGCCCUGGGGGUGGCAGUCUGACCGGGGGAGGGGGUUCAGGGACUUGCCUUUAGGAACACCUGUCCAAGGAACUCAUGGUUUUUUACUGUGAGGGUGGAUUUAUUUGGAUAGCUUUGGAGGGACUGAGGGAAACCCUUAAGUGGAGCCUCUGCCUGAAGUGCCCAGUGGGCUCUGACCUGUUCAUACAGCCUGGUGUUGCAGGGACGGGAUGAGGCCGUGUCCUCAAGGGAUCCCUACUGCUGGAGUCCCAAAGUGGAUACGAGAGACAGCCCCACCCUCCCCCGGGGCUCAGAUCACACACCGAGGCAGGGAAUAAUAGUGAGCGCUUACCACCUGCCAGGUUCAGGGCUGAGCGGUCCGGUCCGUAGUCAUUUUUUCCUCCUACUCAUUUGAACCCGACCCUCCUCUGUUGAGAACAGGCUGUGGCUCCCCUUGGAACACAGCACAAACAGACCAGGGUUGGAGUCUUAAUCUCUCCAAGCCCCAGUUUUCUCACCUGCGAAAUGGGGCUCUGUUCAUUCAACCAACCGAGAAUCCACCAGGUACCAAGUUCUUGCUAAGGUAUAGGACCCAUCCCUGCCUCACCUGGAGCCUCUGUAGAGGAGGAGACUGACAGGCGACAAGUCAAUUCACACGUGACUGUGGCUACAAUAGAGGCCUGCCGCUGCUGUGGUGGGACCUGGAGGUCCAGGAAGCCCCUCUGACAAAGGGACUUCUAAGCCGAAAGCUGGAAGAGGAACAGGAGAUCAUGGGGUGGGACUGUAUCAGGGCAAGAGGGGAUGUUGCUGCCAUCACCGCAGAAGAGAUGCUACAUCCUGGGCACAGUGGAGAUGUAUUUGGGAGGUGGAAUCUAGACACUGGAGAGAGAGAGAGAGAACACGAGUGGGGGAGGGACAGAGAGAGAGGGAGACAUAGAA
This is a long non-coding RNA of Prionailurus viverrinus (fishing cat), 1131 nucleotides long. RefSeq lists it as uncharacterized. The transcript is spliced from 3 exons. The record is from RefSeq and is a predicted model, not a curated record. NCBI's taxonomy places the organism in Eukaryota, Metazoa, Chordata, Mammalia, Carnivora, Felidae.